GAUUGUGAGGCCUCCCCCAAAUUGCCCAGUCUUGGAAAAUCUGAAUUGAUACAGCAGCUCAUCUGAAAAAAAAAGAUGGGGUGGUGGUGGUGGUGGAGAAAACAGCAACUUAAAUAGUGCCAUCUACGAAUUAGGAGUGUUCACUGAAUGAGCAUGAGAUGCAGGUACCUUGUUCCCUCAGCCAGGUUCUAUGUUCCUUAAAGUCCUAAUUUUAGUCAGUAAAUAUUUAUGGCAUUUACUCUAUGCCAGACAAUGUUCUAAAUAUUUUAUUUAUACUGAAUUAUUUGGUGUUUACAUCAGCCAUAUGAUUAACUACUGUUUCCAUUUUGCAGAUGAGAACAUUGAAGCACAGAGAAAUUAUGUUAACUUGUCCAGUGCCAAAGAGCUAUUAAGUGGCAGAGCUGGGAUUUACUUCCACUGCACUGUUGCCUCUUUGGUUAGGAGCUCUUUGCUGUGCUGAGAUUGCAGUAUUUAAAGAUAGACACUGCACCAGGAACUGGAGGACAAGGUAGCCAAUUUCUUGCCAUUCUAUUAAGGGAGGAAGAUUUUAAACAAAUAACUACAACAAAAUGUACAGAGUGGCAUGAUCAAAGGAGUACAAGGAGCUAUCAGAGAUGACUAGGAGUUGGCCAGAUGAAGAAAGUGUAGAGGGAAGUGUCUUGAAACCUUUCCCCUGAACAAACCUGAAAGGUAGAAGACCAUGAGAUGACGCCUCUGGGGGACUGGGUAUAUAGCUCAAGGCUGUCCACACAACUGGGAUAUCCUUUCAUUGAGGAACCCUGCCUCCAUCUUCAGCUCUGGAGGUUCAUGCAAGUGGUUUGGAGCUAAUUCAUCCAAAACUGGCAUAGCGAUUCAGGAAUCCAGGUCUAAGACAGUUAGCACUUGCUAGGCCCCUGGACUCCAUUCAUGAAUCGAUCAAGCUCAGGCCAGAGACACAAGAGGGAGAAAUUCUUAGGGUUCUAAGUCAGACAUUUCCUAUAACUGAAAAACAAACCACUGGAUGUCAGAGGGAAGUAAAUACACUGAGUAAGGGUCAAUCAAAAAACUAUGGAGAAACUGAGUUAUAGUCUUCAGGUUAAUAAAUCCUCAAGUCUAGCUGGUUUCUAGGUUUCUUUUUUCCUGAGCCAAAUGUAUUUCCUUAUUAUUUAAGAUAGUCUGAAUUUUUGUUGCUUUGUUAUUGUUGUUCUCACUUAAACAAACCACCUCUGAUAUGUUUUGUUCCUUCUCUUGCCAUGAGACACACUGGCUCCUUUUCACAUUUUGCUAUGAUUGUAAGCUUCCUGAGGCUGCCAACCAGAAGCUAAGCAGAUGCUGUUACUUUGCUUGUGAAGUCUGCAGAAUGAUGAGACAAAUAAACCUCUUUUCUUUCUGAAUUACCCAGCUUCAGAUGUUACAUCCUUGCCUUUACUAUCAUGCUGGAGAAAAAUCAUUCUUUGGAGAAUAAACUAGUGGGAGUGUGGUCUCAGGGACACCAACAUCUGGGGAGAGCAAGGUAGUGUGGCAUGGGAUUAAAGAAAACGUAUACAACAAAUUCGGAGACCCUCAGCAGCCUUCCCCCAUUGCUUUAGAAGGCCAGCAGCCAGACAUAUGUCCUAUUCUUCACCUUCUACAGCAGCAGAUUGGAAGGUCAUUUUGUGUAGAAAUGAAGUGGGCCCAGAGAGAUUUUUAGACACAGACAUGUGGAGCUCUCCAUCAGGAAGGAUGGCUUGCCCUUUCAUUACCCCGAGUAAAACCCAGCAAUUAAGUAUCUGCCCAUGCUUACAGUGCUUCAGAUGAAACACUUGAUGCUUCACUCUGAAAAAACAAGCGGACAAUCCAGGAUAACUGGAUAUUUUGAGGAAGGCUUUCCACAUGAAAGAGCUGAAAACACGCACAAUAUCAACCAGCCAAUGAAAGAAACAAAUCAACAAAACAACAAGGAAAAGGAAUUCAGUGAAAUAGAGACAAUGUUGGGAACAAAGGAAAAUUUUCAAAAAGCUGCCACUAAUAACUUCAGAAAUACAAGAAAAUUUGUUGCAUCUUUAGAAUAACAACAGGAAGCUUGGGAAAAAGAAACAUCAGAGCAAUAAA
This 2070-nucleotide long non-coding RNA is filed under the name Homo sapiens (human). RNAcentral describes it as "HSALNT0318463". The record is from RNAcentral. Lineage: Eukaryota; Metazoa; Chordata; Mammalia; Primates; Hominidae.